Long non-coding RNA from Trachemys scripta elegans, 648 nucleotides. RefSeq lists it as uncharacterized. The transcript is spliced from 4 exons. The record is from RefSeq and is a predicted model, not a curated record. Lineage: Eukaryota; Metazoa; Chordata; Testudines; Emydidae.
CUGGCCCCGCGCAGGGUGUGGGGCGGCGGGUCGCUGCGCCGGCGGCUCUCGCGCCUCUCCCGCUGUGCCCUUCUGCUGCGCCCCGCCGCGGCCCCGGAUCGCCCGUAGAUGCGGGAGCCGGGUGAGGCGGCAGAAAUAAGGAGCUUUGUGCAGAUAAAUGGUCACACCUGACUGAAAUGCUCAUGAAGACACCUCAGGAAUGAAGAAGUGCCUCUGCUGAAAAAGUCCUCAAGAAUGUAUUUAUAAUUAUCAGAUGCCUAGAUGUACUUCAUAGAACUUGCAAGACACUUUGACAUGAAUCUCCUUGAAGAGUGACAAAUUCCCAGGGGGAAAAAUGAACAAAAUAUAAGAUUCAAACUUGCAGCUCCUGCUUUGAUGAAAGUGUAGUAGUGAUUACUGAUUUCAUCCAUGGUCAUUUAAUUGUUUUCUGUAAUGUAUCAUGUCUCAAAAAACAAUAAGAUAAGUAAUGGCUAGGACAGCACAACAGUUGGUAGCUUCAGUUUGCAUGGUUAAAGUUUUGACCCAGCUUAUGUUUCAGUUCUGAAAUGGAAUAAAACUAGUGUCAUUCAUCUUUGAAUUUACUUUGAAUAACAUAUUUGGGGAAUUUUUAUACUAUAUUCAACUAAUAAAGAAUUUUGUAGUACAAUG